GUGCCUAAUACAUGCAAGUCGAGCGGAAUGAUGAAGAAGCUUGCUUCUUCUGAUUUUAGCGGCGGACGGGUGAGUAACACGUGGGCAACCUACCUUGUAGAUUGGGAUAACUCCGGGAAACCGGGGCUAAUACCGAAUAAUCCAUUUUGCUUCAUGGCGAAAUGUUAAAAGGCGGCUUCGGCUGUCACUACGAGAUGGGCCCGCGGCGCAUUAGCUAGUUGGUAGGGUAACGGCCUACCAAGGCGACGAUGCGUAGCCGACCUGAGAGGGUGAUCGGCCACACUGGGACUGAGACACGGCCCAGACUCCUACGGGAGGCAGCAGUAGGGAAUCUUCCACAAUGGACGAAAGUCUGAUGGAGCAACGCCGCGUGAGUGAAGAAGGUUUUCGGAUCGUAAAACUCUGUUGUAAGGGAAGAACACGUACGAGAGUAACUGCU
This 439-nucleotide ribosomal RNA is filed under the name Sporosarcina sp. 120-4.1-CV-H(h)-06. Its description in RNAcentral is "bacterial SSU rRNA". It matches the Rfam family "Bacterial small subunit ribosomal RNA", at positions 44 to 468 of the family's 1533-position model. The record is from RNAcentral. Lineage: Bacteria; Bacillati; Bacillota; Bacilli; Caryophanales; Caryophanaceae.